GAUGAAGAACGUAGCGAAAUGCGAUACGUAAUGUGAAUUGCAGAAUUCAGUGAAUCAUCGAGUCUUUGAACGCACAUUGCGCCCCCUGGUAUUCCGGGGGGCAUGCCUGUCCGAGCGUCAUUCCUGCCCUCAAGCACGGCUUGUGUGUUGGGCCUCCGUCCUCCUCCCGGGGGACGGGCCCGAAAGGCAGCGGCGGCACCGCGUCCGGUCCUCGAGCGUAUGGGGCUUCGUCACCCGCUCUUGUAGGCCCGGCCGGCGCUUGCCGACACAUCAAUCUUUUUUCCAGGUUGACCUCGGAUCAGGUAGGGAUACCCGCUGAACUUAAGCAUAUCAAUAAGCGGAGGA
This 345-nucleotide unclassified non-coding RNA is filed under the name soil metagenome. RNAcentral's name for it is "partial contains 5.8S ribosomal RNA, internal transcribed spacer 2, and large subunit ribosomal RNA". The stretch from base 1 to 120 matches the Rfam family "5.8S ribosomal RNA", at positions 35 to 154 of the family's 154-position model. The record is from RNAcentral.